Molecule: ribosomal RNA, 119 nt
Filed under: Petromyzon marinus (sea lamprey)
Lineage: Eukaryota; Metazoa; Chordata; Hyperoartia; Petromyzontiformes; Petromyzontidae
Source: RNAcentral
GCCUACGACCAUCAUACCCUGAAUGCGCCCGAUCUCCUCUGAUCUCGGAAGCUAAGCAGAGUCGAGCCUGGUUAGUACUUGUAUGGGAGACUGCCUGGGAAUACCAGGUGUUGUAGGCU